ACCAUAUUUAGGAAUAGGAUUUCUCAGAGCUCUUAAACUGAUUAAUCAGGCCUAAAAGUUGGUGUUGCAUCUAGUGCUGAUCGCAUCAAGGUUGACGCAAAUUUAGCUGCUGCUGGUUUACCAAUAUCAAUGUAAGCAGCUGGCAGAUCCCCAACGAGGUGACAAAAUUGAGAAAGAAGCAGGAUGAUGGCAUUUCAAAAGAUCAUUUAACGUCAGUGCCAAGUACUAACAUCACAAUUGAAAAAGCAUUUGCUCCAACAGCUUUGAGUGCUCCGGCUGUUAACACAGGUGGACAUGAUGCCACAACUCUGAGAACCUCAGGGCCAGGAUCAUUAUCUACCCUGGAUUUGAUCAAGAAGAAGCUGCAGGACUCUGGAACACCUGUUACUUCCUUAGCUGCUACAGUUGCAUCAGGAACAGUGGCCUCAGAAUUAAAUGGCUUUGAGUGCUCCGGGUGUUAACACAGGUGGACAUGAUGCCACAACUCUGAGAACCUCAGGGCCAGGAUCAUCAUCUACCCUGGAUUUGAUCCAGAAGAAGCUGCAGGACUCUGGAACACCUGUCUCUUCCUUAGCUGCUACAGUUGCAUCAGGAACAGUGGCCUCAGAAUUAAAUGGCUUUAAAGCUGUUGAGGUUCCAGUGAAGGGCUUGCCAAAUGAGAACAGCAAAGAAAAGUUAAAAGAUGCUAAUGGUGACGGUAAACAUGUCUGACUCUUCUUCAGAGUCAGAGGAUGAAGACAAUGGACCAUGGAAGGAGGAGUGCAUUGCUAUAUUUAAGGAAAUGCUUAAGGAAAGAGGAGUGGCUCCAUUCUCAAAAUGGGAGAAGGAACUGCCAAAGAUAGUAUUUGAUCCCCGUUUUAAGUCUAUGUAUAUUGUGCUAGAUGGGAAUAUUUCUCACUCAUACUGUGAUGACUUUGCUGCUUUGUUGAUUGGGAAAGGCAUUUUCUUUUUUAGGCCAUCCCAGGUCAAUCGGGAAAGAGGCCCUUGUUUGAACACCAUGUUAAGACACGCGCUAAGGAGGAACAUAAGGAAAAAUGAGCAGCACAGAAGGCUGCAAUAGAGGGAUUCAAGCAGUUACUUGAAGAAGCAUUAGAGGAUAUUGACCACAACACUGAAAAUCAAACAUUCAGAAAGAAAUGGGGUAGUGAUCCAAGAUUUGAGGCAUUAGACUGCAAGGAUCGAGAACUUUAAUUGAACGAAAGGGUCCUUCUAUUGAAGAGGGCUGUCAAAGAAAAAGCUCAAGCAAUACGUGCUGCGGCUGCCUCUAGUUUCAAGUCUAUGCUUAAAGAAAAAGGGGAUGUAACUGUCAGUUCCCGCUGGUCCAAGAUAAUGGGAGUUUUCCCUCAGAAUAUUCAUCUGCCAUGCCCAAAGAAAGAACAGAUAAUGGGCCCGUCCAGGUUGUAGGUGCUACCAGUGACAAAGAUCUCUCAACUUGGGGUUGCAAGGUUCUUGGCGAGAAGUACUGAGAUAUGGAAGUUUGGGAGUUGCUAUAUCUUGUGUCAUAUGAAAAAUACACAAAGUAGUUGGAUUGUUUAAGCAAAUAGUACAUUUUAAGAAAGAAAAU
Molecule: long non-coding RNA, 1564 nt
Organism: Pistacia vera
Lineage: Eukaryota; Viridiplantae; Streptophyta; Magnoliopsida; Sapindales; Anacardiaceae
Exons: 9
Source: RefSeq, a predicted model, not a curated record